Molecule: ribosomal RNA, 200 nt
Filed under: uncultured bacterium
Lineage: Bacteria
Description: partial 16S ribosomal RNA
Rfam family: Bacterial small subunit ribosomal RNA
Source: RNAcentral
UAGUCUGCAACCCGACUACAUGAAGCUGGAAUCGCUAGUAAUCGCGAAUCAGAAUGUCGCGGUGAAUACGUUCCCGGGUCUUGUACACACCGCCCGUCACACCAUGGGAGUCGGAAAUGCCCGAAGUCAGUGACCCAACCGUAAGGAGGGAGCUGCCGAAGGUGGAGCCGGUAACUGGGGUGAAGUCGUAACAAGGUACC